Molecule: non-coding RNA, 138 nt
Filed under: Burkholderia sp.
Lineage: Bacteria; Pseudomonadati; Pseudomonadota; Betaproteobacteria; Burkholderiales; Burkholderiaceae
Also listed under: 1 other name
Description: SAH sequence
Rfam family: SAH (S-adenosyl-L-homocysteine) riboswitch aptamer
Source: RNAcentral
GUCUUCGAGGAGCGUUGCGACGGGUACCGCGAAUCCGCAUAUUCGCCGGCCGCCCGCCAGGCUCGAAGGCUUCAAUCGGAGGGCCCGGAUGCGCAAAAGCGCUGUCCUAUCCACCGCAUCGAACCGCGCUCACGUCAA